This 404-nucleotide unclassified non-coding RNA is filed under the name fungal sp. RNAcentral's name for it is "partial internal transcribed spacer region". The stretch from base 1 to 46 matches the Rfam family "Eukaryotic small subunit ribosomal RNA", at positions 1786 to 1831 of the family's 1831-position model. Lineage: Eukaryota; Fungi. The record is from RNAcentral.
AAGUCGUAACAAGGUUUCUGUAGGUGAACCUGCGGAAGGAUCAUUAAUACGUUCUAAACAAACGUUUUAAACUCCAAAAUUUUUAUAGUGGAAAUCUAACUUCCGGAUGCAUUUGUAGGAGUGGAGAUCAGACCUCAAAAAGUCUGGUUCUCCUCUCUUUGAAAGGAGACUUCAUGCACUUUAUUGUGUGUGACACUUCAGAGUAGAGCAGUGAGGUGAAAACUUCGGUUUUGGUUUCUGAAAUACAUCUGUAUCCGGUUAUUCUCUGUUCUACAACCCUUUUAUUAAACAAUAAACCCCAUGUACAACAACUUGAACUAAACAAAUUUUGUUUUCUCUCUGUGAGAAGAUGAAGUAAAAUCUGAACUUAAGAACAACUCUUAACAACGGAUAUCUUGGUUCUC